UGCAGUCGAACGAUGAACCUCCUUCGGGAGGGGAUUAGUGGCGAACGGGUGAGUAACACGUGGGCAAUCUGCCCUUCACUCUGGGACAAGCCCUGGAAACGGGGUCUAAUACCGGAUACGAGCCUGAGAGGCAUCUCUCGGGUUGGAAAGCUCCGUUGGUGAAGGAUGAGCCCGCGGCCUAUCAGCUUGUUGGUGAGGUAAUGGCUCACCAAGGCGACGACGGGUAGCCGGCCUGAGAGGGCGACCGGCCACACUGGGACUGAGACACGGCCCAGACUCCUACGGGAGGCAGCAGUGGGGAAUAUUGCACAAUGGGCGAAAGCCUGAUGCAGCGACGCCGCGUGAGGGAUGACGGCCUUCGGGUUGUAAACCUCUUUCAGCAGGGAAGAAGCGAGAGUGACGGUACCUGCAGAAGAAGCGCCGGCUAACUACGUGCCAGCAGCCGCGGUAAUACGUAGGGCGCAAGCGUUGUCCGGAAUUAUUGGGCGUAAAGAGCUCGUAGGCGGCUUGUCACGUCGAUUGUGAAAGCCCGAGGCUUAACCUCGGGUCUGCAGUCGAUACGGGCUAGCUAGAGUGUGGUAGGGGAGAUCGGAAUUCCUGGUGUAGCGGUGAAAUGCGCAGAUAUC
RNAcentral lists this ribosomal RNA (626 nucleotides) under Streptomyces sp. D1629. RNAcentral's name for it is "bacterial SSU rRNA". It matches the Rfam family "Bacterial small subunit ribosomal RNA", at positions 56 to 698 of the family's 1533-position model. Lineage: Bacteria; Bacillati; Actinomycetota; Actinomycetes; Kitasatosporales; Streptomycetaceae. The record is from RNAcentral.